Molecule: non-coding RNA, 129 nt
Filed under: Notamacropus eugenii (tammar wallaby)
Lineage: Eukaryota; Metazoa; Chordata; Mammalia; Diprotodontia; Macropodidae
Source: RNAcentral
AUGUUGUAUGGAAAGAGAGGAGCUCAGCACUCCAUUUGAUAAGUAUGAAAGGGGUCCUAAUGACCUUUACAACACAUACAUGGUGAUAUGAUGAACACCUAUUCUGUGGCAUCUUAAAUACUUGUUUUU